ACUCCUACGGGAGGCAGCAGUGGGGAAUAUUGCACAAUGGGCGCAAGCCUGAUGCAGCCAUGCCGCGUGUAUGAAGAAGGCCUUCGGGUUGUAAAGUACUUUCAGCAGUGAGGAAGGUGGGUAUGUUAAUAGCAUAUCUUCAUUGACUGUUAGCUGCAGAAGAAGCACCGGCUAACUCCGUGCCAGCAGCCGCGGUAAUACGGAGGGUGCGAGCGUUAAUCGGAAUUACUGGGCGUAAAGCGCAUGCAGG
RNAcentral lists this ribosomal RNA (250 nucleotides) under uncultured bacterium. Its description in RNAcentral is "partial 16S ribosomal RNA". It matches the Rfam family "Bacterial small subunit ribosomal RNA", at positions 335 to 575 of the family's 1533-position model. The record is from RNAcentral.